This 510-nucleotide ribosomal RNA is filed under the name Triticum aestivum (bread wheat). RNAcentral's name for it is "partial small subunit ribosomal RNA". Lineage: Eukaryota; Viridiplantae; Streptophyta; Magnoliopsida; Poales; Poaceae. The record is from RNAcentral.
AUGAUGCACAGUCGAUUCCUCUACGUCAAGUUCCUCAGUAUUUGGGUUCAUACCUUCCCAUUUCAUGAUGCGAAUGAUUAUAUGUCUUUGGUUUCAUUUCUUGAUGCUUGUCCAUCGUUGGAGACUUUCGCCUUGACAACACCAACGAAACCCAUGGAGCAUGAGUCGAUUAUCGGGGACCCCUCGCAUCCGAGGCAGAUGCCAGGACAUCGACAUGGCAAGCUGAAGAGCAUGAAGGUCUUGGGUUUUAACUCUACAAAAAGCUUGAUCGAGCUAAUGGUUCAUAUCAUUGAGAACACAGGGUCACUCGAGUCCCUUUCGUUGGACACCACUUAUUAUGUUGUUAGGUGUUCUGAUGGCAUCAGUGACACAUGCUCUAGCAUGCGCGAGCGUACUCAAAUGGAAGCCCCUAGACCGCUCUUGGCUAUCCAAACGCACAUCCAGGGGAAGGUCCCCUCCACGGUGAAGUUAGAUGUUCUGGAGCCCUGCAGCAGAUGCCAUGCUUCUUGA